UCGGAAGCACUGGGCGUAAAGCGCACGUAGGCGGCUUACUAAGUCAGGGGUGAAAUCCUGGAGCUCAACUCCAGAACUGCCUUUGAUACUGGUGAGCUUGAGUCCGGAAGAGGUGAGUGGAACUGCGAGUGUAGAGGUGAAAUUCGUAGAUAUUCGCAAGAACACCAGUGGCGAAGGCGGCUCACUGGCCCGGUACUGACGCUGAGGUGCGAAAGCGUGGGGAGCAAACAGG
Molecule: ribosomal RNA, 232 nt
Filed under: uncultured bacterium
Lineage: Bacteria
Description: partial 16S ribosomal RNA
Rfam family: Bacterial small subunit ribosomal RNA
Source: RNAcentral